This 37649-nucleotide long non-coding RNA is filed under the name Populus tremula. Its description in RNAcentral is "long non-coding RNA (PTRE_LNC000233)". Lineage: Eukaryota; Viridiplantae; Streptophyta; Magnoliopsida; Malpighiales; Salicaceae. The record is from RNAcentral.
GGAGAUCCAUUGAGGGAAAACUUGCUUGAGCAGAUUCAAUUUAGGACACGACUGGCGGCCGAACUGCAGCAGAAUUCACAUAAUCCAAGGCACCUCGAUCUAACACUGGAGCAGAUAAUUCGAGCUAAGAUUGGCCAGAAUAAUCUUCAAGAACCCCAGACUGAUAUCUUGGACCUCUUAUCACAGGUGAAGCAUGGUAAUAUACUCCCUUCAGACCUGCAGUUCCAUCUUCAGCAAGAACAGAUGCAGGCGCAAGAGUUAUCUUUGGCAAGGCAGCAGUUAGGAAUGGAUGGUGAAAGCCAAGUUGGUUGGCCAUGGUCCAUCGAUGAAGCUGGUCAGACCUUCAGAAAUACUACUGGUCAUCACCAGUCUAAGUCUACAGGAUUUAACGCUUCAGAUUUUUACCUGCAACAGCAGAGGCUUUCCUCACAUGAUGAACAUUUUAGCCAUAACAAAUGGAAUCAUGCUUUACAGGAGCCACAUCAGGGUGGGUUUUAUGAGCCUAGCUCUAUGGCAUUUGACCAUCCAACUUCUCUGCCUGCUGUCACUCCUGGGAUGAGGAUGGAUAAUGUUAAUGGUCAUUCCCAAGGUCCAGAUUCAGCAGAGCCUCUAUAUAUGCAUUCUACUGAUCAACUGGGUUCCUUCUCGUCCAAUGUCUCUUCUCGUCAUCGACAAGUUUUUGGUGAUAUUUAUGGUUCUCGUGCUGAAAUGACAGAGAGCCACCUCCCUGGAAAACAAGGGCAGCAAGAGAAUAGUUGGGUUGAAGGAGGGAUGCAACAAUUGCAUCUUGAAGCUGAAAGAAAAAGGAAUGUUUCAGAAGUUGCUGGAAACUCUAGUUUUUGGACCUCAGCUCGCGGAGAUGAGGAGAGCUCAAAGCAAGUUUUAAUGGAUCUUCACCAAAAUAUGGGUCUUCAGUCUAUUCGAUCAUCGGAAGACGAUUAUCGGCACCUUAUAUCUUCCUCUAAAUCUCAGGACUCCUUUUGGCCUAUCACUGAGUCAUUCUCUUUAAAUGAUAUUCCAGAUCAAGAAGCCACCAUGAAUGACUCAUUUAUUGAAAAGCCUGAAAAUUCGAAAUCAAAUUCUCUGCUGCAGGAUAACCAUGCUAUGUCCUUGAGUGGUCAAUUACACCAUCAAGGAAAUGGUGAAAGAUUGUCCCUAAGGUCAAAAUCUGGAGCACUAACUGAAGAACCAACAUUCUUUUCAGGCAUAGUAGAUACUUCUCAUUCUAAUCAUGCGGAUAACAUGUUUGUUGAUAAAUCUGCCAUGGAUAAAGAAGUGGUAGAAUUGGAUACCAGAUAUGGGUCCAAAGGCAUGAAUGCCAUGGCCAGGUCUGUUUCGCACAUUGAAGAGAGCUUUGUUGAACAAGCUGAAACUGCUAUGGAUUUUGCUAAUGCCAGUAGCAGGCAGAGUAGCAGGCAUAGUUCCCUGAGCAGUGCUGGUAUUUUCUCUGACAUACAUCUUUUCAGAUAUCAUGCUUAUGCUUAGAUGGAUAUUAGAGGCUUUGUGAAAUUCUGCAGGUGGUAAUGGAGGCCUACACGGGUAUGAGAUGGGAUUAGAUAAAUUGACUGGUGAAGAGGUCUCUAUUGACAGGUAAUGACUAUCCUUUGUUGUUGUCGGAUUGUUUUUAAUGAAGUCAUCAUGGUCUCCUUAAUCAUGAUGUUAAAUCUUCAUCUGAAUAUCGUAUUUUACAACAUUUGGUUUCAGAGCACUUGCAUGGUUACUCUUUGAUAGGUUAGGUGCUCUAAUGAUUUCUCUUCAUUAAAAACCUUAAAACAAGAUGCAAGUAUGUGGGAGAACACUCGCACCUUAGCUGCCUUGUAUUUUAUAGGUCUCCUAGUGCAUGUACAUUAACAUGAUGUCAUGUCAUCUUGUGUCGUAGUAGCUGCUGUAUCAUGGACUUAUUUCUAGAAACUUAACGGGCAGGAAAAAGGUAAAAGCAAACAGAGGAAACCACAAAUCAUUGAAGUUUCAAAUUUUGAAACCUUCACUGGACUGCAAAUGGGCCAAAUCAUAGGGUAUAUUUAGCAUUCCCACCACCCCUUUUCUUUUCAAGUUGGUUCACAGUAGAGCGUGAGUUGGUGCGGAUAUUUUUUCCACCCCAAAAUACUUGCUUAAUUUCUUUCUUCUAUUAUGAUAAAGUAAACUUUUAACAUCUCCAGGGGUGCAGUCAAACCCACAUUCUCUGUGCUUAUUUGUGGCAACAAUGACAUUAAAUCUGUUUUGAAUUUCACAAUUUUCAGAUUGUGCAUAUGAGCUUUGUGGUCAACUGUUCUAUGCAUGACUUGACUAUUAGCAACAUCUGUGUUUGCAUUGUAUUCAGCGUUAGUGGGUUUUCCCUAGUAAAUCUGUUUCUUUUGACAUCAAGCUAUUGGAAAGGUCUUGCUUCAUAAAUAUAGGAGUUGCGAGUUGCACUGUUUUGAUUUGAAACCUAUAUUGAUGUUCAUGAAAAAUGCUUGUGAACAGGAUGCCUUCUAUUUUAACUAGAGGGCUUGACAGUGCCUUGCAUAAACGCCCGCCGGUAUCACGGGCGUAUUCUUCCAAGGAUGCGUUGUCAGACAUGGCAUCUGCUUCGCAUAUCAAGCAAAAAAAUCGGGCAAGCCUUGCAACUUCUGAUGGUAUAUCAUUAUUGUUUCAGAUGUGCUGUCUUUUGUUUGUUGGUUUUGGAUAAUUGUGGUGGUGAUUUAAAAAAUCCAAAAACUUUGGUGGCUUGCAGAAAGGAGGAGUGAGCCUGUAGAGAAUGUAGCAGCAACCCGGGGUGGUGAUAGUCAGACAUCUGGCAAGAAAGAAGCGCGUUUUAGGAGGUCCUCAUCUUACAAUGAUGCUGGUAUAACAGAGACUUCAUUUAUGGAUGUGCUAAAAAAGCCAGUUUUUACUGAGGCUGAAGCCGCCAAUGCGGCUGCCUUGGAAUCAUCUGAUGGUCCACUGAGUGGGCGAAGCGGGAAAAAGAAAGGGAAGAAAGGAAGGCAAAUUGAUCCUGCUCUCCUUGGCUUCAAGGUUUCUAGCAAUCGCAUUAUGAUGGGUGAGAUACAACAUCCUUACGAGUAACUUACGAUGGGUGAGAUACAGCAUGUUGACGAGUAACUGAUACAAGCUGUGCAGUUAUUGUAAAGUUUUCUUCAUUUUUUUUGUAGAUCAGUAGAUUUUGUAUAGAUUACUGAAGUAGUUGGAGAUUCUUUGAUUUUUUUCUUCUUGUUUGUUUUUGGCUUGUUCAAGGUGGAGGAACAAGUUACAUCUUUUAGAGGUAGAGGAAGUAUAGGCUUCGAAGGAAAUAUUUUGUAGGCAUGAAACCCAUUAACAUAAACAAUUAUCAGAGACAAAUAGUCCACUUUUCUUUCUUUUCUUUAUUCUUUUUCUCUCUUUUAUUGUUUGUGUCCAAGAACAUGCAUUUUCAAUUUCAACUUCAUUUCAUUCAAAAUAAAAAACCUUGGGACUGUGAACAGGGCCUUAAUCGUGUUUCAUUAGUUGUACUUCACUCUAAUGAACAAGCUGUAAGAAAAUAAAAUAAGAGGACAAGCUCAUAUUACAAUUACAUUAAAAUUAUAAUUAAAUUACAUUACAAGUAGCUGUGAGGUUUUCAUUUAGCUCAACUCCUUUAUUUUUUUGUCAUCGUAUUUUUUUUCUUUACAAUUACUCAUUUGUAAUUAAAUUAAUGGUCAAAUUAUGAUAAUUUUUUAUACAAAUGCAAAACUUAAAAAUAGAGGACCAAAAUGUAAAGCAUAAAAGGAUAAUGUGGACAACCUAGAAUUCACACGAUAAAAAAUGCUUUAGUCCCCUUGUUUUACUAGUUCUUCCAUUACAGUUCCUUAAGUUUUUUAGAUAUUUUAUUUUGGUCCAAAACUUUAAUUUUUUUUUAAAAAAAUUCUUGGCUUGAAAGAGAGAAAUUCAUCAAAAAAUUGUGAAAAAAAUAUAUUUCUUGCUUAUUCUAAAUUAUUUCCUGUUAAAAUCAGUUUUGAUAAAAGUUCAAAUCCUUUUGCAUGCAUUUAUACUAAUGUUUGAGUUUCUUUUUCUACCCUUUCUGCUUCAAGUCAUAAAUAUUUUAUUCAUUCAUUGAUCAUUGCAAUAGAAUAAAUAAUUACAAUAUCAUGUUAUUCUUUAAAUUUACAAAAUGAUUGUCACAUAAUUUCAUACUCAAGUAACAAUGGUUCUGAGUUUAUGAAUAAGUAUCCUAAUGAUUUAUUCAAAGCUUAUGACUUUUUUUUUUUCACUAGUUAAUGUGUGGCUACAAACCAUUACAGAAUGUAAGAACUAGCAUCUCAUAAAGGUAGCUUGGGCAUAGGUUUACUAUUCAUGUUCCUAAAUGUUUUCGUGCUGAUAAUUUCAUGAUUGUCUUCUUUCUUAUUAAUAGGUUGUUUGCCCAUAUUAUUGAUUAUCAAACCCUUUUAAUGUGUUAUCAAGGUUCUAUUCUAUUACUUCUACUCUCAAUAUUUAUCAUGAGUGUUUUUUUUUGUUAUGUGUUAUGUCCAUGUUCACUCUCUCUGUAAGGAUAAACUUGAUCCUCAAGCAUUUCAAUGUGUUAUGCUAAUUUCUAAAAGGAUAUCAAUGUGUUUGCAACGCUUAGUAAAUAUCACGACAACUUUAAUUUUUUCAACUAUAAUAUAUGUGAGAAAUGAGAUAAUUUUUUUUACAUCAUGAUGGUAGUCUCAUGCUUACCUUCCAAUAAAUUUUGUCAACAACCGUGAUGAAUUAUAUGUACAAAAUAGUAAAGUUACAACACUUUAUUGAAUCUUUCUCUCUCUCUCUCUCUCUCUCACACACACAGAUAUAUAUAUAUAUAUAUAUAUCUCAGUAGCAAUUGAGAUCUUCGAGGGAAAGUACUUGAAAUACAUAGAAUUAUAGGGAUUAAAAUAAACAUUCAUAUUGUCGUACAUAUGUGGCGUCAUGAUGAUCAUCCUACCGAAGCGUGAUCUCUUCGGUGAUGGGGAAAGAGAUAAGAAAUUCUUAUUUCUUAUUCGUAAAAAAAAAAAGUAUGGAGUCGCCACCUAGUAUUUUGGUCACUAGGAACCCUAAUUGGUUUUAGAGUCUGGAUAAAGAGACUCAUUGUGUAUAGGAAAGACGUAUCAUCUCAAGUACACCUUACCUAAGGUAAACUGCAUUGUACCCCUCAACCUCUUAGAAUAUUCUCUAAUUAUAAGCUCACUUUUCUUGAGUCCCCCUCUGCCCCUUACAAAAUUUUCUAAAUAUGGGCAUAGACAUGGGCUCAUUCCCUCCGCCCCUUAAAAGUUUUUCUAAGUAUGGGUAUUAAUAGAGAUUCGUUCCCUUCAGCCUUUUAGAAUAUUUUCUAAGUAUAAGCCCACUCUCUUUAGGUUCCUCUUAAAAAAAUUUCUAAGUAUGAGUGUCACCAUAAGUUUCCCAUUUGCUUCUUAGAAAUUUUUCAAGUACGGAUGUCGCCAUGUGUCUGUCCCCUCCACCUCUUAGAAAUUUUUCUAAGUAUAAACAUCGCUAUGAGUUCCAUUCAGCCACUUAGAAUUUUUUUAAGUAUAAGGCUCACCCUUCUUGGGUUCACCUCUGCCUUUUAAAAAACUUUCUAAAUAUAGGUUAACCCUCUCUGGGUUUUUUUUUGCCCAUUAGAAUUUUUUCUAAGCAUGAGUGUCGACAUGGAUCCAUCCUCUCCGCCCCUUAGAAAUGUUUCUAAGUAUAAACAUAGACAUGGAUCCAUCCCUUCCACUCCAUAGAAAUCUUUUUAAGAAUAAGUGUCACCAUAGGUUCCCCCCAACCAUUUAGAAGUUUUCUAAGUAUAAGGCUCACCCUCCUUGAGUUCUCCGCCUCUUAAAAGAUUUUUAAGUAUACGUUGACCCUUUUUGGGGUUUUCUCUACCCUUUGAAAUUUUUUCUAAGUAUAGGUGUUAGCAUAGGUCCAUCCCCACCGCCCCUUAGAAGUUUUUCUAAGUAUGGAUCCUCCUCCAUGAUCCACCUAUUAAAAAAAUUUAGUCAAUAUGAGUUCCUUCAUGGUUCCCCUCUAUAUGAUUAUAAUUGUUUUUUUCAACCAUGGUGUAUGCCCCUACACAUGGGGUCUCUGGUAUAUUACUAGGGGUUUCCACCCCUCUUCUCAUAAAAAGAAACUCAAUAAACUCGUUAUAUAAGGUAUUUUUACAAAGUCUGUGUAUAAAAUAUCAUAAAAACUUGGGGGCUACUGAUAAACUCAAAUUUAACAAGCUUGAAAAGCUCCCCAAGGGCCUAAAAAUCCUUAGUCUCAUGCAACAUGCCUGGGCUCAGCUGCAAUGGCCUCAACCUUAAGGAAGAACCCAAUGUCAUGGGCUCAACUUAGGGGAAGGCCUAACCCUCAUGGGCUCAACCUAGGGGAAGAGCCUAGACUCACGAGCUCAACUACAUUUUAGAUAUUAUUCUCCCUACACCCUUAGGUGUAUAAAAGUCCUUUAAAAGCCUAUCAUAUUUUCAUCAACAUUAAUGUUGUGUAAGAGAUAGUGUAUAAAAGUCAUUUAAGAACCUAUCAUAUUUUCAUCAACAUUAAUGUUAUGUAAGAGAUAAUGUCUAGAAUUUUCCAAUGUCCUACCAUAUUUCUAUUUCAUUAAUACAUACGCAGGGAUAUUUUUCCUCAUUAAAACUAUUAGGGAAAAAUUACACUUUAGUCACUCCUCCACAUAAAAAGACAAGACUUAUAGGCUAUAGAUAUACUAUGAAUCUUUCAAGCUUCAUGUUCCCAAUCUCUAUUCUCUACUGCAUACAUAUUUUUAAAGCAUUUCUAUUUAAAAUAUGAUUGUCUUUUUUCUAAAACCAAUUCUUACUUAAGCAUCUGAGAGUCCCUAAAUGUACCAAAGAGGAUCUUUUGCAGGUACUAGCCUCCAACUAUCUUGGUUUACCAAGUACCAAACACCACCCACCUUGAUUAGAAAGAAUAAAUCAAAUUGCUAAAAUCAAGAGAUUAACUGAUUAUCCAACACAUAAGCUUUGCUUCUAAGUUACUUGGAUUUUUUAAGACAUCAUCAAAGGGGCUCACCCCUUAAUUAAAUACAACUCUAACUACAAUUAUAUUAACACAUAUCAAGAGAGCUUUCACUAAAUAUUUAUGGCUCUCUCUUCUCUAAAUAUUAUCCACGUAUUUUACCUAUAAAGUAUACCAAAUAUUGACUUACAUAUCAAAGUGGUGAACCCUCUAGCGCCAUUAACUUCUGAUGUUUGAGCUUAAUGUGUAUAGGACUCUAAAGACACCAACAGUAUUUCCCACCCCUUCAAAAAGAUUGAAUUAUUGAGACAUUCACAACAAUGGAUGAUAAAAUUAAAUAGUUAACAAAUAGUUAUUUGUUGGUCGUAAGUAUUGACUGUAGAUUACAAUACAAGAAAGUAAAGAAAAAGCCAAAUGAAGUCAUAAUUAUUAAUUCUUAAAAACAUAUUUCAUACGAAAGGUUAAAUUAGAGAGAUAUGUAUAUUAAAUGGAUAGACAUGAUUAUUGUUUAAAUAAACAUGAAAAUUAAUUUAUGUUUUAUAUUAUACCUCUAGUUAUUUUAAAAGUGAGGACAAAAGGUGAAAAUUAAGAAUAAUUCUUUUUGUGUUUGAGUCCAUCUAAAAGUUUUUUUUUUCUUCCAUUCUCUAUGAAAAUAUCAUUUUAUGAAGUUAUUGAAGAAGUUAUUAGUUUUCUAUGCAUUGAACUUCUAGUGGCUUUAUUAUAUCCUAGAAGUUUUUUUUUUCCAUUAACAUAAUAGAAAACUAUAUUGAUAGUAAAGACAACAAUCACUUUAAAGAUAAGACUCUUUCUUACUUGAAAGUCACACAGAUUUCAAGUUUUUCUGAUUAUAUUUCACCAACAUGAAUAUCAAGCCUAAUAAAAUCUAGAUGUCCAAAAUCUUGAGCAUCAUCAUGUUUUAAAUUCUAAGCUCCCCAAAGUUGAUGAAAAUAGUAAAAAUGUAUAAAAGAUGUGUUCUCUCUAAUAUUCAUUAUGAAUUAGUGUUUGAAAUUUUCCAUUUACAUUGUCUAUUAGUUUUUAAACUCUAUCUUUUUUCUAGUUUUGGAACAAUCUCUCUUUUUACCUUGUUGGUUUUUUAAACUCUUUUUCUACUAGUUUUUGGAUUGUUGUUUGUUUUUAGAAUACCCUCUCUUUUGUUGUUGGGUUUUUAAAUUCUCUGGUAGCUAGUUUUUAGAAAUUCUCACAAAAAAAAUAAAUAAGGUGCCUUACUACUAAACCUAAGUUCUUCUAAUCCAUGUUUAAUUAGUUUUAUGGGUUUUUUUUAUAUUUUUGUAUUUUGGUUUAUAUUAUAUAAUUUCUCUUAAUUCAGAUAUUUUCUUAUUCUUCUUUGAUCUAUAAAUACCAUUUAUAACUAUAUAUAAGCUCACAAAUGUUCAAGGUGAUAGUACAUGGGAUAUAUAUUAUUUAGGAUAAUAAAUAAGUGGCUUACGUUGUGCCACGAGCCGACCUAAAUUUUUCACAGCAUAAAAAAAUAAUGUUCAUAUGAUGGUAGCCUUUUCCAAUAAUCAAGAAAGAUUCGAGACAUGAGUCAUUAAUUAUACUGCAUUCAAUAAGUUUGGUUAAUAUAAUAAUAUUUCAAAAAAUAAGGCAUUGAUAGUAAAUAGAGCAAACAAAUAAAAAAUAACAAUAAUUAACUAUAAAAAAUGAGUUGUCAAUAUUAUAUUCGGGAGGAGAAGAAAUAAAAACUCGUUAGAGACUCACUAGUGCUUUUCCAUGGAUACCACCUUACCACAAAAAAAAUUCACUAAGACAAUUCCAACAUCAUUGUGAAACGUUGCACGACGACAUCAAAAGAAACUGCAUGCGUUGUUAGAGCAACGACCUAGAAAGCAAACAAAACAAAAUAUCAUGAAUUAAGCAUCUUAUACUUAUAUUUAAUCAAUUAAUUUAAUUUAAUUAAAAAAAAAUUCUUUUAAAAAAACUAAAUUUAACAAAGAACAACAAAUAAAAAAAACCCUAAACAACCUGUGUCAUUUUUAAAAUUAAUAAAAUAUCUUAUAAAAAGCAAAUAAAAAAAUAAAUUUGUCUAAUAUCCAAUUAAAUAAAUCCUAAAAGACAAAAAUGAAAAACCAUGAUCUUAAAAAAAGCAAAAAUAAAAUAAAAUAAGGAAACCCGAGUGAAUCUAUAAAACCUAGGCUAAUCUUUCAAACUCAUAACUUAUGAAAUCCUAGAUUCAGACUCAAUUAAGAAGCUCAAUUCUCAAUCAAUUAAUAACAAUAAAAAGAAUGUAAAUCAAAUCUAACAUGUGAGAAAAUUGGAGGAUAAAAUAAAAAAAUUAAGUUUUAUAAAUAAUUUUAAAUAAAACAAAACGUAAUAAAAAAAGACUAAAUCUGAAGAAAACAUAAAUUGAAUGGUUUCUAUGAAAAUUUGAAGGAUCAGAUGUAGAAAUCAAUGAGAACAAAAAAAAAAAAAAAAAAAAAAGGUUGUUAGCUUCAAAUUAGAGGGGUGUUGGCACACCCUUUUCCUAAUAAUGGAGGGGGAAUCGAGAGGAUUUAAACGUUGCCCUAAAAGCCACUGUUUGACCAUCACACGUCUCCUCAAGAACCAUCUUAAGGACAUGGGCAUGUCACACACGCCAACCACUUUUUGUUUUUAAAUAAUAUUUUAUAUUUAUUAAAAUACCAAAUUGUCCUUAGUUAACUUGAUAAUAACUAAAAAAACAAUAUGAAAAAAAAACCUAGAUACCAACACAUAAAUUUUUGCUUUUAAAGAUAAUUUAGUCAUUUUUGUAUGCUUUAAAAAGUGAAAAUAUUGGAAAAAGAAACCCUUAGAUGCUAGUUUAAAAGUUUUUAUUUUAAGGAUAAUUUAGUCAUUACACUAUGCAUAAAAAACAUUAAAAAACCGAUCUGCCCCUAUCACUCUAACAAUGACUUAGGAAAAACCCAUAUUACCCCUAAUAUCAAGUUAAAUGAGUUUCUUGUAAGGGCAAAGUCAUGUUAUUGUUCCAAUCCCUUUCGUAUACAAUGAAAAAUUAAUUAGUUUUAUGUUUUUUAUUUAUUUUAAUUUUUGUGGAAAAUAGACAUAAGUCUUUUAUAAAAGUCAUUAGGUGGACUGUAUAACCAAUUUAAGUGAUACAUAUACAACCUUAAUACUCUAACUAUCCAAUCACCAAUCAAAUUUAUAUUUCUAAGUAUCUUAAUAUUUAGACAGCAUGCGAACACACAAUUGAUGCUACUAGUGAUAGAGUUAAUUUUCCAUAACUAGUGUUUAUCUUAUUUGAUUGCUUAGACAACUAUUACUUGUUGUUUGUGUCUAAUUACAAGCAUUUUCAAUUUCAACUUGUUUUCAUUAAAAACAAAACGAGGUUUGUGAAUCAUAUUUUCUUAUUUGUUUAACAUUGUGUUAUUGUUUGUAUAAAUUUACUCACUAUAAUGAACAAUUGAAUUCUCUUAAGAUCACUAAUAUUUUAUUGUAAAAAAAAUUAAUAAAUAAGAGAAUUGGCUUAUAUUAUACAAAACACUAAAAGGCAUGGGGAAAUUAUUGUUCCUCAUGCCAUUAUAGCCCAUCUCACUGUUCACCGUGAACUUCCACAAUAAAUGUUUUUUAUCCUAAAACUUUUUUUUUCUUGUUUCGCCCUUAUAGAACCAAAUUAGAGGCCAAUUUAGAUUAAUUUGUUGGGGAAUGAUGAGAUUAAAAGAUAGGGUACCAAAGUGAAAAACAUAGAGAAAAUGAGUGGUUUUCUUGAAGUUUUGGUGAAAUGUUCAUUAAUGGAAAUUUUCUAAAUUAUAAAAUGGAGUCCCUUCAAUUUUUUAAAUUUCACAAAAAAAAAAUUAAUUUUAGCCCAAAACUUCAUUUUUAUUAUUUUUAUGAUCCUAGUUUAAGAGAGUAACAGGAUUCUGAAGGUCGAGAAAGAAAAUCAUUGUUGACAACAUUUCAAUCACUAAAAUAGUCAAUAUUGGUGUCAACGAGUUAUAUUCUGUGAGUGGAGUUUUUUUAGGUGUUUUUUCACCUUAAAAUUGCUUAAAAUAUAUCUAAGCUCGGAAAGAUUUUUGGUUUCGAGUUGAUUUUUGAUUUUUUUGUUGUUUUCUAGUUUUUUAAUGUCAUUAAUAGGUCUAUCAAGGUCUCUAAUGUGUUUUCUAAAUGUUUUUAGUAAAAUAAUGGAUUGAAAAUAGGGUUUCUAAAUCAACAAACCAUAAGGUCUCCUGAUUUUUUUACCACCAAAAUGACGAAAAUCUGAACAAAUAUAGAUGACAUGUCGCCUUACUUAUUUGUUUUUCAACAAAAAUUAGGGCUGACAACCCCGUUAGCUUUUAAAAAAAUAAGGGCAUACGCGCGGGCCCUUUCUAAAUUGGCCAAACAUGCUUGUCAUGCCCAGCAGUGCGUGAUCUUUUUUUUAUUGAUUUUUUAUUGACAAUUUUUUUAAAUAAUUUAUUUUUCAAUUAAUAUCCCUUCUCUGUGAUUAUUUUCGUAUUUUUCUUAAUUAGUCUUUUUUAAUUGGCAGUUUUUUUAAUUAUUUUGUAUACAUUUAAUUUUUGAAGAAAUUAUUCUAAUUUAUUUAUAAUUUGUUUUAUAAAUUAUAUAGAUAAACUUUAUUUUCAAAAAUAAAGAAUUUUUUUUUUUUGGAUAAUAUUUAUAAUAUGUACAACUUCGUAUAAUAUUUUUUUUAUUCAAUUUAUUUAAUUGAAUGUGUUUAUAAGCUUUUCAAUUUACAUUUAGAAUUUUUUUAUGUAAAAAAACAAGUUAAAAAAUUAUGAAUAGUUAAUUUUUUUUAUUUGAAAAAAAUAUUUGACUGAUGGCUGAGGUCAAAUAGUUCUAUUUUUCAUAAUAGUGGAAUUUGGUGUAAUUUAUACCAUGCUUGAGUUGGUUUUUUAUAUCGUGUCUGAGCAUAUUUUAGUUGUUCAAAUCGCCAUGUGUUUUGAUAUUAUACAAUUUAUUUCCUGUAAUUUUGUACUGAAUCCAUUUUAAUUCUUGAAAGAAGAUUUUCUCACUCGCGUGGAUUGUAUUAGAUUAUGGUCUCAUGAGCUAAUUAUUACUGUAAUAGUUAAUGGUAUAGUUGAAGUUACAAACACAUAAUUCGUUAAUAAUAAUUGUUUAUUUAUUAAGCACCAUCAAAUCAACCAUUCAAAAGCCAUAUAAACCCAGACAUUCUUGGCGAUGGACAGCCGUUGCGGCAUUCUGAGGCGGCUCUUUUCCUUAUGCUACGAGCUCUAGACCUGACAUCGAGGAAGAGGAUCAUGGCAAAUCCAAGGAUGAGACUACACAAUUCUUAACACAGGAUUAAGAACUGUAAAUGUUUAAUUAGAGAAAGUUUAAUUGGUUAGGUUUUAGAUUUGUAUUUUAGUGGUUAUGAGUUCGAGUCCUAUCAGGAUUGUUGAAGACUUACAUAGUUGUUUAUUUUAUGGUUCGUGAGAUUAGUCAGAAUACACAAGAUAGUUUGUUUGAAUAACCAUGUUAAUAAUAUAAAAAAAUAUAAAUGCUUACUGUAACUUUAGAUAGAUAUAGAUGAAUCAUCGAAAAGGGUUUCUUCGUCUUUGUUGAUUUCUAGAGCAAAUGAUUUUAGUCUACACUUUAAGGGUUUAGGUUUCCUCUGGAACUUAAAUCUAUUUCAUCUGAGUAUUAGAAAACUAAAAAGUAAAAAGCACUCCCCACUAGGCUUGGAGUAGAUGCCCUAGGUUGGAUGUUUGGUGAUUAGGUGAGGUGUGAUUUCUAAACAACAACGAGGUGGCGUAGCUUCUGUUCUUUCUUUUUUUAUUGAGGUAAUGGUUCCUUAGAAUACUUUCUCUUCAAUCCCACGCCACCAGCUUUGAAUAGACAUUACUAAAUUAUAGUACGCAUUACGUUGUGAGCAUGAUUAAAAAAAAUUAAUAUAAAGAAAAUAUUUAGGUAUUUAAUGUUAAAUCCUUUAAAUUUCGAGGGGAUUAUUUUGAUGUAUUUGAAGGGUCUAAAAACAAUUUAAAUUACUAAUAAAAAUAUAAUUUAACUUGUAAUAAAUAUUCAAAAUAAUUUUUUUUAUAAAUAUUAAAAUGAUAUAUUAAAUCAAUUUAAGUUAACAUGUUAAUUUGCAUUCAAGUCAUGAUUAAAAUAAAAAGCACUUUUCUAUGGUAAAUAAAUAAAUAGUUAGCCAAAGAUUAAGUAUUAUAAAAAAAUAAUAAUAACAAAUUCAGCAUAGAUUAAUAAAAAAUUAACAUAAACUCAAAGUGACACGUCAUCAUCAGCUUAAGAAUAUCUCAUAUCAUAGGACUCGAAUAUAAAGUUGUCAAAUGUUAAUAUAAUAUAUAAUAGAAGAAUCCUAUUAAUUAUUAAUUAUAUUAGUAGUUAAAAAACCCGACAAAUCAGAACUCAAUGGUUAAAAAACACUGGACAUGAUUAAACCAAGAAUAAAGGGCUAGGGCUCAUUGUGAGUCAUUCUAGGCGCCGUUUGGUAACGUGGCUGCGGGUGAGGUUCACCCGCAGCCACACAUGAAUUUUGUUUGGUAAGUAAAAAAUCCUGCUUUUCAUUGGCGGGGCCCACGAAAAUUUGAAAUGAAACUGAGGUUCAGGAGAAGCAGCAAAAUGCUGCUUCUCCUGAUGGAAGAAAGCUGGAACAGUGGAGCCAUGCUCCACUAUACAGUGUAAGUGAUUUUCGAAAAACAAAAAAGUAAAAAAAAAAAACCAAAAAAAAUUAAGUGAUUUCACUCGCAUUAUUCAUGUGAACGUGAACAAUAUUUUUUUUGUUUUUUUUUAAAUCAUGAAAACUGUAGUUUUUGUCGAAUGAAUUUGUACAUAAUGAAAUUGUAAUUUUUUUUAUAAAAAAAAUGAGUUUUAGUUGAAAAACUAGUAUUUAAUAUUAUUUAAUAACACUACAUAAAUUAGAAGGAUAUAGCAUGAUGACGUAGCAUUUGUGAAAUUUGAUCACAAUUCCAAUUAUGUUUUUGCCGUGUCCGACCCAAUUAAAAAAAAUCAACUUGUAUUUGUAUUUUAAUUGUGUUUUAUUCAAAAAAAUAGAAAGAGAUCACUUGAUGACGUAACAAAAAAUUUAGUUUUUGUUGUUGCGUGUUUAAGAAACCAUGAAAAAUAUAGUUAUUGUUGGAUAGAUUUCGUAUGUGAUGACAUUGCAUAUAGUUUAAUAGAAUAAUAAAAAAUAUUUGAUAUUAAUAUUAUUUAUUUCAUGAUGUAACAAUAGUAGUUAAAUCUACAAUAUUUAAAUUAAAAGUAUUUUUUAAUUAUUUUAUAACCUUAAUUUGAAAAGCAUUUUUUUAACCAAACACAUUAAACUACUUUUUGUUCAACCUCAAUUUCAACCACAGUUUUAACCAAACAUAUAUUUUUUCAAAUCAACCUCAACUAAAAGUACUUUUUAUAAAACAACUUUUUUAAAACCACAACCACAACAGCAACCGCAAUACCAAACACACCCUAAAUCUUAACAGCGUUCAGCAACAAUAAGUUCCAAUACCCUCAGUAACUUGUUUUUCCUACCGGAGGAUGAGGCUAUGCACACACACAUGGUAAAUGAUAUGCUUGAAGUAGAAACACAGCAAUCAUUGAGGCCUGGAGAAACUAUUCAAUCUAUAUUUUUAAAAAAUUUAAUUUUUUUAUUAAAAAAUAAUUUUUUUAUAUAUAUUUUCAAGUCGUUUUGAUACAUUAAUCUUAAAAAUAAUUUUUUUAAAUAAAAAUAUUAUCAUUUUAAUAUAUUUCUAAACUACAAAUACUUUAAAUCGGUUUUAAAUAAAAUUAUACAAUGUCAUAAAAAAAAAAGAAAAAAAAAAAGAACAAGGCUGCAGAACAAUGUGCAUUUCUUUCAAGACAUCGUAUUUAUAUUCUAUCACACACAAGUACAGACCAAUCACUAGCGUCUGUGAAUGCAAUCAGCCUGGAGCAACACACCUUAAACGAAAUAUAACAAGAUUUUCAAGAAAAUACAACGCAAUUUCAAUUCUUUAAUUUUUUUUUUUUCUGGAAGCAUACAAUACUUCAAAGCUGUAGCUCACAUAGUUAACUGCAAGGUUGAACUGCUUCAUGGACUGCAGCAAAACCCCAGGGAUACAGAAGGCAGUCGGAGAAUUAACCGUGAUAUAUUGGCUAGCUUUAUACGUAGCCCGGUGUAUAUAUACUUUAUGCCUGACCACACUUACUCAAACAAGCCAUCCCUUCUUCUAGAUAAUCAUCUCUGCUAAUCCAGAACUCAGGUGCAUCCUGCAUCAAAUUAUCCACAGGAUACAGAUUUUAUUUCACAACUAAACCACCAGAAAAAGUUUAAACUGCUGUGGGAAAAUAGUCACGAUCUUUUAAGGUUGAGAGAAAGAGAGAGAUAGAAGCAUGUACCUUCAUAAUUCCUGCAAGAACCGCACCACCAAGGUAGACCAUAUGCUUUCUUCGUGGUGGAUCUUCAAUCCUCAAUCGAAGUUUCUGUUCACAAGUUAUAAUGCCAACCCCAAUAUGUUUACUUCUACAUCAAGUGUGCCAAAGCCAUCACAGACACUUUCAUAAAUUAUUCAAAUGAAAAAUUAAGUGUUUGGUAAUUGUUUCCCUUUUGUACGUCAUAUUAUAAAAGACUUGGACCUUACCUUUAACCCGUCCUUGUUUCCCUUGAGAACUGCAUCUAGAUAGCGAUCCAGUAUUUCUUUCUCCAGCCUGAACCAUAAAUAAAUAAUAAACAUGUGAAUAAAUCAUCCGGUGGUUUCCAGAUUCAACACUUGCAAGAAGCACAUCCAUUUGUGCCAACAGAAAUGAUAGAAGCCACUGGGUCCACUAUUGAAAUAGAUCAUGAAAAUCUCUAAAACAAAUUUUUUAAAAUCCUUGAACAUUGUGUGAUAAUGCAGGGAACCAGAAAAAAAGGGGAUUGACUUCACACUAAGAAUAUCACAGUAUUAGGAAUAAUCCUAUUGGCAGCCACCAUAGGACAUCAUUUCACAUUUUAUGCUAUUUCCAUCAUGCAUGACAUCAGGCACUUGAAAAUUUUUAUCAGUGUUGACAGAAAUUUGUAAACAUGAACCUAAAAAUGCAUGCUAAAAGCAACAUAAAACAUAUCUGGAAUGAGUGAGUAUUUUAUGCAAGAAGAAAGCGAGCUGUAUGAAGGAAUUAAAGAUAUUACCGGCUAGGUAAUCCAGGAUACAUUGUGCUCCCUCCACUUAAGACUAUAUGCUGGUAGAGCUGCACAGAGAAAGAGAGGGGAAAUUAACAUGAACUCAACUCGAGUUCAGCCCUUUGAGGAAUUCUACAUGCAACCCAGCAUAAGAAGAAAAGAUGGCAAGACUGGGGACUAUAUGGACCUUCCCUUAGUGCUACAGUCUUCAGAUUACUUAAUAACCAAUCUUCUGGACUACAGAAAGAAUAUAGACCCCAACCCUAUUGCUAGCCACAUCCACUAAUUUAUUGCAUUGUGAGGCAAAGGGAUUCUAAAAACACCGUCACAAAAUGCUGCGGCAAGUACAGGAGAUGAUUUGGCAUGUGCACAACUAAAAUAAAGAAGACAACAUACUGGAAAGACUUUUUAGAAGCAAAUGAAAUAGGAAAAAAGAUGAAACAUAUUCUAAUCUUAGAAAUCCAUCACUUAAUAUGAGAAAUCAUAAACUGAGAAAGACAAGUUUUGUAAAGUUAAGUUCUCAUGUUAAAUAGGUUAUAGUUUUAAUAUCCCCACCCAACAGUUUAACAGGAUAAUCAAAACCGUUAACUGCAUUAAGAUAUAUAUCUGGAGUACAAUAUGGAAAAAAUGCUAGUACCAUCAUACGGUUGUCGAUAUCCAUUUCUUGAAUGCAGCGAAAAACCAUGUCAGCCAUCCCAUCACCUUCAACAUCUAUGAGUUCCUGCAAAAAGGAACCACCAAUAACUUUCCAGAUCUUAAACCUAUCAACAUCUUGUUCUAAUUGCAUGACCUCUUAUUGUCUGUCAUGAUGAUUAUAAAUAAAUAAAUAAAAACUCAAAAGCCAGUGCUAUUAUUAUGGCAACAUGAUCAACUACUCUUUUGUUAAAUGUUAGCAGUAAAAUAGAUUAACAUGUAAUGAGUUGACAAUAAACAAUGUGAGCUGUAACUCUGCAUCUUACUACAAGCCCAAAAUGAUUGUCCCUUGGAUAAAAUACAUGUAUCAAAAAAUUGUCUAGUUCACACCAUUUAACAGGACCUAUAGAUAAGUUUGCUGAAAACAAGUUAAUGAAAUUAACCACUUAAUAUUCAGAUGGACCUUGUAACUGCACAAUAUUGUAAUAUGAAAAUUUAAAUAAGAUGACUUGAAAAGGAAGGGAGAGGCGGAGCUAUAGACUUACCGGUGUAAAAAGAGCCUCAGGGGCCUGGAACCUUUCAGUGCCUACUUUAAUGAUCCUUCCAUCUGGCAGCUGAUGAAUACAGCAAUAGCAAGCUAUUAUUUAAUAGGUAAGUAGUUUUUCAUUAGAUUGUUCAGAUAAUAUGGAAGCUAAUACCAGCCCAAAAUCCAGAAGCACCUUAUUGAAAAGAACCCAUAGGGUAUAUCAAAUUGAACACUACGAACAAACCUAUACAGAUAGAUUAGUUGGCCAAGGCUUUCAAUUAUUAACUAGAUCUCCAAAGUUUGAGCCCCAGGGCUACCAAUACAUAUGAUGCAAGUGAUUACACAUAUAAUCAAUCAAAUGAGGGGAAAAGCAUAGAACAAAAUAAAGCAUGAACACACAAACAAUAAGGCAGCUAAAAGAUGAAUAGAACCUAUGCAAACCAUGCAAGCUUUUGUUUGACAAAGCUAUUCCUGAUAGUAUAGUAGAUGCAGCACUUACCAAGAAACAAAAAAUAAUCAUAAGAUUCAACUUACUGUAUAGUUUUUAACCAGUAUGGUGGUCUCAAGUCCCAAUUGAUACUCCCUCUUGUAGUCAUAACUGUAGAUAAUAUAUUUAGUAUUAAAUCACAAUGCAAUAACCCAUCUACACCAUAACAUUGUAGCUUCUUCACCUAAUAUAGCAGAGUUUUUCUUUGAUUUCCCUGACAGUCUCAAAAUCAGCAGUCCUAUUCAUUGCAUACCUACAGAAAUAGAGUAAGACAUUCCAGUUAUCUAAUUGUAUCAUAGUGAACAGGGUAGAAUCUAUUAAAUUCAUCAGACAAUUUAUUUAACAAGAAUUUUGGCCCUCACCCUCUUCGUGAAAGUAAAUCAACAAGAUAGGAUGUAAUGUGCCGACCAGCUACGUUCAUUCGCUUAGUUAGAUGAGGGAAUGAAUAGCCGUCAACAACAGGAACCUGGAGAGAAAAGCCCAAGUAUCAUGCUUUUGGAUACUGCCAGUUAGAUGGACAAGCCAUAGCUUUUACCCCUAGAUUAAUUAGUCGUGAACACAAAUUGCAUAGAGCAUUGAGAACAGCAUCAUAAACAGUGAGGGCUCCAUUGCUUUUUAUGAGACAAUGGCAAAAAUUCAUAAUUUACAUCGCCAUCACAAGAAAAUAGCAAAACAGACUGAACUAGUAUUGAGUUUUGGAGGAAGAACAUUUCCUUGGAAUGAGAAUGGAAAUGGAAAUGGAAAUGGAAAUGAAAAUCAGACACUAUAUAAAUGUGGCGAAUGAUUUGAUUUUAGUUCAUUGCAAGUGGAUGGCAAUAUUUGUGAACUCUAACUAUGAAUGGAUCUCAAGUAGUUUACCACAUGAGUAACCCCAUCGCCAGAAUCAAUAACUAAUCCAGUCAGUAAACCUGCACAAACAAUACGAUGCUGAAGCAAAUAUCCAAAGACAAGGGCAAGUAACAAAUAAAGGGGGGAGGGGGGGGGGUGUUGAGCAACAGCAAAAGAAAUAACAAUGACAUUGAGCAUUCCACAAAAAACAUUAGUAUAAGUAGUUUUUAAGGCAUUCAAAGGUAAAUUUUCCAAAACUCUACAUCUCAUGAUUCACAUCACUAAGAAAGAAAUAUGUCGAUCAAUAAAACAUAAACCUUCAAUCAUCUCCACAAGCACCUUGGGCAUACAAUGUUAAAACAGCUUGGAUUUGAAUGAAGACACCAGCAAAAUUGUAUUUCUCAAACAUUGUCUCGACCUGCAUAUCAAGUGAAUCCAAAUCACCAUCACAUUAUGGAGUGAUUGAAAAUAACAACAAUGUUACAGAACAUUACCAUAAAGAAUUAAAUCACAAACCAUUUUUUCACGAUUUUUUGAGGGAUUAAGAGGUGGGUCUGUGAGUAAAAUCUUACAUUCCGUUGGAUCUAUCUGUCAAAAGAGAAUGUAGGGCACGGCUAGUUAUGAUCCAGUCAAAAUUACAACUAAAUACAGUUAAAGAAAAACUUAAAACAUAAUUCUGGAGGGCAAAACAAAAGGAAGGCGCCACCGGAUGUAUACUUUAAGUUGAUUAUAAAAAGCAUGAUCCCACACAUGACCCAUAUCAUCCCAGUUCUGAACGAUUCCAUUGUUAACAGGAUAAGAUAUAUCUAACUGAUGCCUCAAGCCAGCACAAGCCUCUCCAACAACGAUAUCCUAAUUCAAUCAGAAAAAAGAAAAAUAAACUAAAAAAUAAAAGCAAAAGCAUUAACUUGCACACACAAAAGUAAUGCAAAUACACAUGAUGAUAAUUACAUUAUAGUUGAGAUGUUUUUUACCUUCAAUUGAUGUUCCAUUAGUGAUUCCUCGUAGCGUAGCAUCGGCCUUCCAACCACACACGGGAAUACAGACGUUGGGAAAUUCUCUCCAGCAAAUCCACACUUUACAUACUGCAACAAAAAUAACUCUCUAGUUAUCAAACUCAACAAAUCCAUAAUCACCAUACUCUUAAUUUUUAAACAAAUGUAAAGGCUAACAAAUCAAUCAAUUACAAAUUACAAAAUCAUUAACUAAAGAAAACAAAAUUAUUAUCCAUAAAAACAAUUGAUCGUGCUGUUUUACACGUUCUUCUCUCCUACUUAUGCUUUCAAAUUACAAAAUUUUCAAGCCAAAUGCAAUUCUUAAAAAAUAAAUCGAAGCGAUCAUUCACAAGGCUGGCACAUUUUUCAAUAAAAAAAGAAUUCGUGGAUUAAGCAUACAUGAAAUGCAGAUCAGGGAAAAUUACAUGAACUGAUAAAAUCAAACAAGAAGCGAGUGAAAACAGAGAUCCAUUCUUUGGAUCGAGAACAAAUGAGGGAUGGAGGUAUACCCCUGUGCCAUUAUCGCAAACGACGACGUUUCUACUGUCCAUGAUGAGGCAGCUCUGCGAUGAUGAUUUUCUUCAAACUUUGGAAAUAAUUGAAAGUGCAGUCAGCUAAGGAACGUUGUUGGGAUGACUUGGGCUGUCCCGUAAUUCUUUAUAUUCUGGUGGUUAUUUUUUAAAAUAUUUUAUUUAAAUAUAUUAAAAUAAUAAUUUUUUAUUUUUUUAACAUCAAUAUAUCAAAAUAAUUAAACAAAAAAUAAAAUUAAUUUUUGAUAAAUAAUAUUUUGAUCAAAAUACCAAACACGAUUUUUCUCAAUUUAAUUUUUGUAUAUUUAAUUUUUGUAUAUUUAAUUUUUUUAAUUUAAAUUUAAAAUAAAUAUUGAUCACAAUAAAUAAUUAUCAUUAAACUUUUAUUAUCUAUAAUUUUACUUUUCCAAGUUACAAUAGCAUGUUUUUUUUAAAAAAAAAACAAACAAUUUACAUUUUUCACAUGUAUUGAGUUUUGAGUAAUAUUCUACGAUAAGUUUGAUCCCCGUAGUUUUAUUUUUCUAUCAUUUAGUUUUAUUAUUUGAACAAUUCAUGUUUUGAUAUCAAACUUUAUCUUAUUCACAUUUUAAUCCUGAGAUAUUAAGAGAAGAGAAAGAGAAAAUUAUUGAAAAACAUAAAGGAGAGAAAAAGUGUUGUAAUGGUCAUAUUUUGGUUAAGAGUAAAGAAAGAAAGUCAUUGAAAAAUGUUAAAGGAAAGAGAAAGUGCUCGAAUUGUAAUAUUUUGGCUACCAAAAAGAUUGAUUUUUGAGUCAAUAGGUUUGUCUUCUUAAGUGGAGUCUAAUGAAGACAAUGUUUUCCUAUGAACAUGCCAAAAAUAGUAGUCGGUGUCAGUUAAGGUUUUUUAUUCGUUUAAUCUUCAUUUUUUGGAGUGAAUAAAAAGUGUUUUGAGGUUGAAAAUGGAUUUAUUAAGGUCUCAGUAGGGGUUUUGAGGUGUUUUCUAAUGAAAAAAAAAUUGAAAAUGAUUUUGUAAAUCCACCAAUUUAACUCUAAUUUUUCGAUCAUCAGAUAUGACGGAAAAACUAUCAAGCAAGUGACAAAGCUAGUUGUCCUUAUGAAAAAAAUAUUAGAGCCUUUAUAACUUAUUGAAAUUUUGAUAUAUUUGCAAAAUAUUAAAUGUUGUCUAAUAUAUGAGAGAUUCAAUUAACAAAAUACUAAGUAUUUGUUUGGUAGUAUUGUGAAUUGUGGCUAAAAGCUUGAAACUAUGUUUUGCCUCAACCAUAGUUUUGAAAGUGUUUGGUAAUUAACACACUCUAUAGUUUGCAUGUGUCUUCUUGAAAAUUCUCUAUUAAAAUCUUGGUUGCUGAAAAACUACAAUUCCUAGCUUUUCUUAAACAUACAUUUUCAAAUCAUAACUAUAAAAAACUACUAGAAUAUCAAAUAUACAUUAAAAGAUGUGGUUAAAUCACUAUAGUCACGCUUAUAAAACACUAUUAACUAGAAUAGUAAAUUUUUUUGUUAAUUUCACCUUUCAACAACCUAGACUUUUUUUAUUUAGGUCUUUUUCAAAUUCAUCACUUAAUAUUAGGUUAUUUUGGGAAUUGUGAUUCGAAAUUUUUUUUAAAAAAAAUUUUGGGUUAUAUAUUGAUUUCAUGGAUUUAGUUUUUUUAAAAAAAAAAUUUAACUUUCAACAUUAGAUCUGUUAGAAGUGGGCUUCUUAAUUUUGGUUUUUAUUUAUAUUUUUAUGAAUUCAUCUCGAUUUCAUGAUACAGGUUAGAGGUUUAACAAGUUAACCCGAUUCACUCGGGUAUUUUUUUACCGUUUUUUUAUAGUUGAUUUUUUUUUAUUUCUUCCUUCAACAUCGGGUUGGUUGAAAUUAGGCUUUAUAAUUUUAUUUUUUUCCUUUUUUUAUAGGGUUAUUCUGAUCUCAUGAUUCAAAUCGCGAGUUUUGCAAGUUGUCAUGUGUUAACUCUAUUCAUUUUUUUGUUCUUUUUAGAUUGAUUUUUUUUUUAUUUCAUCCUCCAACAACUUAAUUUUUUUUAUUUUUUUUUAAUUUCAUCAUUCAAUAUCUUUAAUGUUAGGUUGUUUGAAAAUUAAGCUUCGUAUUUGUUUUUUCAAUUCAAUUUACUAUAUAUAGAGUCAUCCCGAUCUCAUUGAUAUAUUUUUUUUCUCUUGAUUUUAACCUCCAACACUAAAUUUGUUGGAAAUGGGACUUUGUAAUUUUUUUAUUUGCAUUUUAUGAGGUUAUCUCAUGACCCAUAUCACAAGUUUACAUGUUAGUCCAAGGUGACUUGUGUUGUUUUGUUUAUCUUUUUUUUAAUUGAUUUUUUUUCUUCGAUUUCAUCCUUCAAAUUUGGAUUGGUUGGAGAUUGAGCUUUAUAAUAAUUUUUAAAUUUUCAUGCUAUGAGGUUAUCUCAAUUUCAUGACUGGGGUUGUUGGUUUGCCAAGUUGACCCGAGUAGUUUUUUUGUUCAUUUUUUAUUUAUUCUUUUUAAUUUCAUCAUUCAACAUUGAGUGAAUUAGAAAUUAACCUUCAUGAUUUUUUUUAUUUUUUUUCUAUAAGGUUAUCAUGAUCUUAUGACGACGAAUGACAGAUUUGACGGGUUAAUCUAAGUCAAUCUAAUAUACAACCGUAACAAUAUUUACAAAAGAUAUCAGACAACAUGCAUCAUAUUUUGAGUUCAUGAUUAACUUUUUUUAUUAGCAAAAACAUUAGCAAUGCAUGGACAUUUUUUAUGUUAAAAAAUUAAUCUGACCCACAACGCAGCGCAAACCAAUGAUCUAGUAGAUUGUUAUAUGUCAAAGACGAAUUCCUUUUUUCAAAACAAUCUAUUAAGAAAAUUAAAAAAAAUCAUACAAAUUAGUUAAAUAACUAGUACUGGCCCCCACGUUACGCUGAAGGUUGGAGAAAAAAAAGUCAAUUCAAGCAUAAAAAAGUACAUGUUAGCAAUGUUAAAUUUCAAGUUGACGAUAAAAAAAUUAAAGUGCGCAUUGAAAGUUCAAUCAAUGUGUUCAAUAAAACUAAUCGAUCAUCAUACACGCAAAAAAAUGUUAAAAGAGUCGCUAACGAUGAUCAAACACUGGAUCAAGGUGUUAAACGAUUGAUGCAAACAAGAAAAACAUACUCUCCCGAUGUGGCAUGCUAUUUAGCAUUUUUUUUUAAUUAUAUGUCAAUUUUGGUUUUUCUCGACAAAAAUAAUAAAUUGAAUCAAAACAAAAUAACUUUCAAGAAUAGUUCCUCUUUUUUUUUUAUCGAUUUAGCAUUACCUUAUGUUGCAGUCCAUUGGAUGACAUGAGUUUCAAAUCCAAUCAUGUUGGAGUUGGCUCAGGGCCUAAACACAACCUGGUUGCCUUGUUCAAAACUCAAUUUGGCUAAAAACAUUUCAACUAAUUGGUUUGGCCACUUGUCUCUUUCAUUUACCUUAUGUUCUUUUCCUCCCAAUUAGGUCUUUAUUGGGCAUGGGUGAGAUGAAAUUUAAGACCGAACCGAAGCCCUAUAAAAGAAUUAGGGACAAAACCAAGGACCAAAAAAAAAAAUGAUAAGGGCUAAAUUUUAUAAAAUGAUUGAAUCAACGACCAAAUCAAAAAAUUAAAGAGUUAUAAAAAAUUAAGGACCAAAUAAAAAAAAAUCUAAUAAGGAACUAAUUUUUUAAAAAAUGGCUAGCGUAUGUGCUGUACAUGACAACAUGUGAGAAAGGCCAUGGAGUUAAGGUGGCGCAUGAGAGCUCUUCUAAGCUCCGAUGAUGGCCUUUCUUUGUGUUGUUAAAAUCAAAUCAACUUCGAUUCUCUUCCAUGGCAACACUUGUUAGUGACGUAACCCUUACGUGUCUCUAAUAACCCUUUUUCUUUCAUUCAUUUUCUAGCAUUUUUUCUCUCCCCUCGAUUCUUGUGUCUAUCCUCAAGAAAACUAUUAUUGCCAUGCACAAUAGUUUGUGAGAAAGGCCACAAUGUAUCUUUGAUAAGAUUUUUUUUGAAUUUUAAUAUAUAUAUAUAUGCUUCACAUGUACCAACAAACUAAUACAUAUAAUAAAACAAACAAUUAAACAUAUACACAUUUGUUUUACACUUCUUAGUUUUUUCAAUCAAUACUAUAAUUACUAUUUUUGUUGUUGUCAUAAAUUCAAACUAGCAUCUCAUUAUAUAUAUAUAUAUUUUUUUAUAAAAAAAAAUAAAGGGCAUUAGUGUUUCACCAUGUCUUGUAAUGAAAACUCUUUGUUUAGUCCCAAAUUUUUUUUUUACUUCUGCCCUUCAAUUUGAUUUUUUUUUAAAUUGGUCUUUUAAUUUUGUGUUUCUUUAGGAUUAGCCAUGGUGAUUUGUUUUUAUGCUUAUGUAUCGGGGCCUUAUGGUGUUAGGGGAAUACUCUAUCGCUUGGAAAAAUAAAAUUUAUUUUUAUUGAUUUAUAAGAUUAUAGCUUUGGGGACCAAAUCUAAAAGCUUAAACAAAUAUCAAGUCUUUUUUGUUUGCUAACAUCAAGGACUCAUUUGCCCUAUCAAGGGAAUUUUUUUUCAAUCACUCAAUUUUUUUUCUUCUAAUUUGAUCCUUUCACAUUGAUUUUUUUUUUGGGAUUUGACCUAGAAGUUUAUUUUGGUUGCUUAGAUGUAGGGUUCUUGUAAUGUUAAGGCAAAUGUUUUGUGUUCGGUUGAUGCUCGGUUUGGAAAACUAAAAUAAAAUUAUGUUUAUGUAAAAUAAUUAGGAGUUAAGAGAUUAAAAUUGAAACUAAAACAAAUAUAGCGAACCAGGUAAAUAGGUAGGGUGACUUGGCUAGUGCAUAUAAUGCAUGAGCCAGUGUAUGGAAGCUUUCCAUUGAGCUUUAAUGACGUGUAUGGAGGCUUUCAAUGAAGGGACAUGGUAUUUCGUCUUUGCAUUGGAUUCUUUGUGGUGAGAUCUUCCUGAUGAGGAGUUGCGUGUACCAAUUAGAAGUGUGUGACCUGUUUUUCAUAUUUUCCCUUCUCAUACCUCUCAUCUCAUCGAGAUUCAUAGUGUCUUGCCAUUUCUUUUUUCUUUUUUCUUGGAUUUGGUUCUCAAUGCUACCUUUUCUUUUUUAAUCCUUUUUUGAAUCGAUAUUUUUCAUUUUGACCCUUACUAUUUUGUUUCUUUUAGUUUUUAUAUCAAACGUAGUCUCCAUCAUGGUUGUUAAAAUCGCAAUUCAAGUCGUAAAAUCGUACGUUUUUAUGAGUGAAUAUAUACUUUACAUACUAAAUCGUUCAUAAAACUCGGAAAUGAGCAAAAUCGUAUCAAAAACAGUUAAAAUCAUUAAAAUCGGGCAAAAUUGCAUAAAAUCACUAUUUCACCACCGAUUGAACGAGUUUGCCCGCAGGAGAACAAAAUUAAGUGUAGCUGCCACGUGUCACCCACCUAUUGGCUUGAAGAGAUCGAAGGCAAUUUAUUUAGUAACUGUGACUCACCGAAUCAGUCUUCUCUUAAGUGACAUUCACAAUUCACGCUCAGUCUUCCCCUUCAAUCUUCUCUCGGAUAAUCGAAAUCCCUAAAUUGAAAAUCCCAAAUUUAACAACCAUGACUAAGACUGAGACCUCUUAAUCUCUUGUAGUCUUCCUCUCAGCCAACAAUCAACCACCGUCACGGCCCUCGCUCGUCCCUCAUCUGCAUUAUUUCCAUCAUCGACAACGUUCUUUCCACCGGCCACUGUGAGAAUCACAGUCCACACAACAAUAACGGUCAACGACGUCUCUCCAGUCUUCACGAGGUAAGUUACACUGUUCGUUUAUCUUGUUUCUCUAGUCUUCAAGUGGGUUUUUUUUCCGUCCCUGUCCGUUUAUUAGUCUCAUCACUGAUGUUAAUGUUAGUUUGAUUGAAUUCACAGGCUCCAACUUUGACUGCAAACAUUCACUGUGAGUCUUGUUGCUUAGUCCGUUACUCCGUUUCUCUUCUCAACGUCGGUGCUCACUGCUCAGAACAGAGGUAAGCUUCUUAGUUUCUUACCAUUUCGUUUCUUUACAGUUUAAUGAUGUCUAAUCUGUUAUUGAGACAUGUUAAUAUUCAAGUGUCCAUCAAUUUGAGAGUAUGCCUGCGAAUUUUGGAUUGAAAUAUAACUGGUGACAGUGUGUGUGUGUGUGUGACAGUGUCUAAAUGGAGAGACUCUGUUUUUUCUUACCUUGAAUUUGGAUUUAUUGUAAUUUAUUUUAGAGUGUUGUUGCUGCUGCUGAGUUGUGAAUUGUGAUGAAUGGGUUUAUUGUAAUUUAGAAUGAUGAUUGAUGAUGUUACUGCUAAGUUGUGAUAAUGGAUUUAUUGUAAUUUAUUUUAGAGUGUUGUUGCUGCUGCUGAGUUGUAAAUUGUGAUGAAUGGAUUUAUUAUAAUUUAGAAUGAUGCUGCUGCUGCUGAGUUGUGAUGCAUGGAUUUAUUGUCAUUUUACCGUGAUUUGGGUUGUAACUUGUGAUGAAUGGAUUUGGGUUGUAAAUUGUAAUUUAGAGUGCUGAUUGACUGUUUUUAUGCUGCCUUUGUUGAGUAGUAAAUGGUUGUAACUUGUAAGUUUGCAACCUGUAAUGGAUAAUAAUAUAGAAGAUGGGUUGUUGACUGUUAUUUUUUUGUAGUGUGUAUUAAAAUCAAGUUUGUAACCUGUUAUAAAAUGUUUGGAUAAUAAUAUAAAAUGUUUGGAUUGAUUUGAAUUGAUUCUUGAAUUGUUGAACUUAUGGCAUCUAGAAAAAAUGCUUCUGGUAAUAGCCUUGAUGUUGGAUGGCAGCAUGGGAUAGAUGUUGAUAAAAAUUCUAGAAAAGUUUUGUGCAAGUAUUGUCAAAAAAUUAUUAGUGGAGGUAUAUUUCGUUUCAAACAGCAUUUGGCUUGCACUCGUAAGGAUGUUGAGUCAUGUCAGCAAGUGCUAGAAAAUGUUAAGCAUAUGAUUUUAGGUGUUUUGGUGAAAAAUCUAGAGGCAACUGAAAAGAAAAGAAAGGCCCUUCAAUAUAGUAGAAAUGAUGUUGAUGAUGAUGAAAUAAAAGAAAUUAGCUCCAAGGACAAAGGAAAGAGAGUAGCUAGUGAGAGUGAAAGUACACAAACAACUCUAAAUCAAUUGCUAAAAAAGGAUAUUAGCUCCAGAAAAUUUUUUUAUAUAUAUUUUAAAAUUCCGAUUUUUUUACGAUCCGAGUUUAACAACCUUGGUCUCCAUUAUUUUGAUUGUGAUUUGUUUGUUUUAAAUCCUUUUUUAUUGUUUUUUUUUAAAUUUCAUCCCUUAGCAUUUGGUUGAUUGAGAAUUUGACUUUGUGAUUUUUUGGGUUUGAUUCUAUGAGAUAAUCCUAACCUCAUAACCUUAGCCAUGGAUUUGGAUAAUUAAUGUGAGUUGACUCAAUCUUUUUUAAGCCAAUUUUAAAAUUGAUUUUUUUUCAAUUUCAUAUUUCAAUAUUAUGUUGGUUAGGGAUUGGGUUCCUUGGUUUUUUUAUUUUCUGUUAUACGGAGUUAUCCUGAUCUGAUAUCACAGGUUGUGAGCUUGGGGGUUAACCCAGGUUAACUCAAGUCUUUCUUUUUUUAAAAAAAUAAUAAUUGAAUUUUCCCAUUUUCGCCCUCCAACAAUAAGGUUGGUUUAGGAAUUGGUUUUCAUAAUUUUAUUUUAUUUGGAUUUUGAUGAGGUAAUUUUGGUCUCGCGACUAAGUUGCAAAUUUGGCUAAUUCGGAUAGAUUUGGGUCAAUUGUUUUUGCCUUUUUUAAAAAUAAUAUGUUUUCAAUUCUACCUUUCAAUAUUUGAUUUGCUAUGAAUUAAACUUUGAUUUUUUUUUCAUUUUGUUUUUUACAAAGCUAUCAUGUUAUCAUAUACUUUUUUGCUAUGUUAUUAAAUAAGCUCAUGAAUACCUUUUAAUAAUAUUGGGAGGAUAGCUUUCCAUAAUAUUGAUAAAGUUUUAUUUUUCGCAAAUAAUCAUUGUUAUUUUUUUAGCUCGAUUUAUUUAUUGUUUUUGUUUUUUAAUUAUAUUAUUAAAAUAAAAAAGUUUAUUUAAUUAAAUCGAGUGAAAUUGGAAUUUUCUUGUUUUUUUUUAAAUGCUUCGUUGGUUGAUCUUUUUUUUAUGGCAGUAAAAAUUUGACAUGACUACCACAUGUUACUAAUCUAGCUUAUGUAUUUAUUUGAUUUGAAAUAUAUAUAUAUAUAUAUAUCAAGCCAAACCAUGUUUUUAAAAACAUAAAAAAGAAAAGUUAUUAAGAGCGCAAAGUUUUUUUUGUAAUGCUAUAAACCAAGGGAAAAUGAUAAAUCUUUAAGAGCUAAUCAACACAAUGUGAAUUGGUUUAUUUAAUAGGUUUGAAGGAAACUUGGAUGACCUUUUUUAUUAUUUUCAAAAAUAAAUGUUAAACAAUAAAAUUAAAAAAUAAAUUAUAAUGCAAGAAAUAAAAGAAAACGUCGAGCUAUAUAAACUUUUCAAACUAGUAAUCUGUGAUAUUAGAUAAAAGAUAUCAUACAUGGAAAAGCAGUGAAACUCAAUUGUCAGCAAAUCUAAUAUCGAACGAUGAAUGAUCACAAUUUUUAGUAUAAUAAUUACUAUUCACAUCGUUAUUAUUAUCAUUACUAAUAUUGUCACAAUCAUUACAACUAUCACCAUUACUACUAUUAUCAAUAAGUAAUAUCAUGAUUAUUAUUAUUAUUAUUAUUAUUAUUAUUAUUAUUAUUAUCGUGAUCACUAUUAUUAUCAUAAUUAUCAUUGUUAUUAUCAUCGCUAUUAUUAUUGUUGUCGUUGUUGUUGUUUAUACUAUUGCUAUAAUUAUUAUCACCACCAUUAUAACUAAUAUUACCAUUAUUUUUAUUCUUAUCGCGAUCAUCAUUAUUGCUAUUAUAACCAUCAUCAUCAUCAUCAUCAUCAUUAGUAAUAAUAGUAGUAGAAGUACAUUUCUGGGUUAUUCCCUAAAUUCACUUUUUUUUUCAAAAUAAAAAUAAAAAAAAUUAAAUAAAAGCUAGCGAUGUGAAGAAAGCAAAUGGAGAAGGAUUUUCAAAAUACAUAAAAAUUAAGCUGCAAUUUUGGUUGAAAUUCGAAGCCUCAUUUUACCCUAUUAUGCCAAAAAAUAGAGAAAUAAUACAGAUUAAAGGUCAAAAUUGAAUAAUUAUUGAACGAAUCUGCAUAAAAAUUAAGUAUAUAAAAACAUAAUUAAAUUUUUAAUAGGCCAAUUUGAUUUAAUCAUAUUAAAGUUUGAUUAUGUUUAAAAAUCAAUUUGGGUCCAAUUAAAGUAUUUAAUUAAGUGCAAAGACGUAAUUAUACUUUAAAUGAGUCAAAUUAAUUUUAUCAUGGGCUUAAUUGGUGAAAACUUAAGUUUGGAAGCCUAAUUUGGGUUUAAUUAAGAAGAUUGAAUUUUAAGAGAUCAAAUUUAGUUUUUACUAAGUCAGUUGAUUGAAAUCAAGGGCAAUUAGAGGUUAAAUUGAAGAAAUUCGCAACCAAUGAUCAAUCUGCAAAAGACACCGAACUAUGAGAACCUAAUUGAUUGAAAUCAGAAGUACCACCACCACCACAACUAAUAAACUAAUAUUAUUACCACGAUCAUUAAAAUUAAAAUUAUUAUUAUUAUUAUUAUUACAACCACUACAAUUACCAUUAUUAGUAUUAUUAGCAUUAUUAUUAUUAUUGAAAUAACAAAAAUCAUAAAUUUGUUUUGAAAGAUAAAAUCAAUAAUCAUAAACUUUUUAACAAAAAGGCAAAUGAAACAAAUAAGAAAUCAAAUAAAAAAGGACCAAACCAAAAUAAAUAUUAUUACUAUUGAAAAGAAUGAGAAUUGAAAUGAAAAACAAAACAUAAGAGAAAUUGUAAUUGAAGGAUAAUUUAAAAAAAAACUUAUAUAAAAGGAAUAAGGAUGAAAUAAGAAAUUCAAAGAAUGAGGACUGAAAUUGAAAAACAAUAAACAAAGAGGACAAUUGUGUAUUUUAGUUGUCAGGAGAGAGAAAAGAAAGAAAAAAUAAAAACAAUCAACCACUGGUGGCAACCCAACAUCAUAAGCCCACACACGCCGUGCCAUAUGGAAGAAGACACGAUUACGUAUCUAAAGAGACGACUAAAGGCUAGAUUUGGCCACCGGGUGGUAUCACACGCGCCACCCACUGGCUAGCAUGUGUGAAACAUACGCCAACAAUUUUUUUACUUAAAAAUUUUAAACAAAAUGUGAAAAUACCAAAAAUACCCCCAUGACCCUCUUAAUGACACAAAAUAUCCAUGUAAAAAUACCAAAAUACCCCCAAAUAUAAAGCUUUUUUUUUUUUUUUUUUGUCUUUUCUAAGGUUAAAAACUUUCUUUUACUAUAUAUGAAAAGUGGAAAAAUCUGAAACACCCUUGCCCAAUAACUCAACAUUUUUUUAAUCUUACGGGCAAAUAAGUAUUUUUACUAUUACGAAGCAUGUGAAAAGUAAAGAAAGCCCUUGUUGAUUCUAGGGGUAAAAGAGUAUUUUUACUGUGUUAAAAAAUUUAAAAUGAUGCACACCCCUAAACAAUCUUUUAAUGACCACUGAGUUAGAGAAAAGAAAAGAAAAAAAAUCCUCCAGUUUGAAAGUUCAAAUUUUUGACACUCAAUGGUAAAAGGGUAAUUUCAUCAUGGCAAUCCACAAUAAUCUACAUGUAGAACUAUGGGUGUUCAAAAAAACCGACCAACCGAUUAAAUCGAGAAAAAAUUAACCGAAAAAACCGAUUAAAAUUUUUUAAAAAACCACCCAGUCCGGUUCGGUUCCGGUUUAAAAAAGCUUAAACCGAUUGAACCGGACCAAACCGAACCGGUUUAAUUGAAUCUAAAAUAAAAUAUAAAAAGAAACAUCAUAAACUUAAAUAAUAAAUACCCUAACCCUACAAAACUUUUCCAACCCGCUGCCCCCCUCCAAAACCUUUCCACCCCCUUCCCUUUUCUCCAAAACCUUUCCAGCCCACUCAAAAAUGCUCAAUGGUGUCCUGCAUCAUCGAUCACAACACUAUGCAUUCCAUAAGUAACCCACGUGGUAGUGGGAGUGAGUAUACAAUAUACAUGGUGGGAUGCAAUCCAUCCAUCUGAGACUUCAAUAUCAUAACUGCAACCGGAUCAUAUAAUUAUCAAUCUCCCUCCCCACUCUCCCUCCCUCCCAAAACCUUCUGCUCACCCUCCCCCUUCCCCCUUCCCUUUCCAGCAACCCCAUCCCUCCCUCCCCGCUCUCUCUCCCCCCUUCCCCUUUUCCAGUGCCCCUACCCCUCCCUCUCUCCCUCUCCUCUGUGCACAAGGCUUAAAGCAACUCAUUUUCUCUUAUAUUGUUGCCUUUAUACUCUCUACUUUACAGGAUGCUAUUGAAAUCUUUGUUAACAUGUAGUAGUGCUAGUAUGGAUAGAUCCAGUGAUUUUGAUUCAAUUAAGGGAGAUCUUUCAGAUCUCAACCGAAGAGCUUGGAUUCAAAGUUUUCAACAAGGAUUUUUUUGAAUAUGAUUCGGCCAAGUUUGUCCAGUGAUUGUGAUUCAGUCAAGUUUUUAUUUAUUUAUUUAGUUUCGGUUUUUCUGGUUUCUAAGGCUAAAAAACCGACCCGAACCGAACAAAAUCGGUUCGGUUUGAACCGGUUCUUGGUUCGGUUUAUAUUAACAAGAAAUGGUAUUUUCCGGUUCGGUUGAAUUUUUAUGUUAAAACCGGACCGAACCGGACCGUGAACACCCCUAUGUAGAACUACAGUGAAACCCCCACGCGUUUUAGCUUUUCGUAAAAUAAUGAGGACUGAAAUGAAAACAAAACAUAUGAGAAAUUGUAAUUGAAGGAUAAAAUUGAAAAUAAAACAACUUUUAUAAAAAGGAAUAAGGAUGAAAUAAGAAAUUCAAAAAAUAAGAAUUGAAAUUGGAAAACAACAAACAAAGAAGAUAAUUAUGUAAUUUAGUUGGCAGGAGAGAGAAAAAAAAGAAAAAAUAAAAACAAUCGAUCACUGGUAGCAAUCCAACCACUAUAAGCCAACACGCGCCACACUGUGUAGAAGACACUACUAUAUGUCGAGGGAGAUGACGGUUGGCCAAAUUUAGCCACCGGGUGGUGUCAGACACGCCACCCACUCGAUGACGCAUGUGGAACAAAAACCGAUGACUUUUCAAUUAAAAAAUAUAAAAAAACAUGAAAAAACCAAAACGCCCCCAUGACCCUCUUAAUUACAUAAAAUACCCACGUGAAAAUACCCCUAAAUGAAAUUUUUUUUUUUUUUUAUCUUUUCUAAGAUUAAAAACAUUCUUUUACUGCACAUGAAAAGUGAAAAAACCUGAAACACAGGCCUAGCAGCUCAAUAUUUUUUUGAUGUUAAAGGUAAAGAAGUAUUUUUACUGCUAUUAAAUAUGUGAAAAGUCAAGAAAGACUUUGAUCAACAGUUUUAAAUCUUGCUAACUUUAAAGAUAAAAAAGUAUUUUUAUUGUGAAAAACAUUAUUUUACUAUAUAUGUAAAGUGAAAAAACCCUUUCCUAGCAGCUUAAUAUCUUUUUAUUUUAAGGACAAAGAAAUAUUUUUACUUUUAUGAAGCAUAUGGAUAGUCAACAAAGUCCUUCGUCAAUAAUUCUAAAUCUCGUUAAUUUUAGAUAAAAGAAUAUUUUUAUUGCCUCACAAAAUUUAAAAUGAUACCUACUUCCAAACAAGAAAAAACCACAGCUAAAAGACUUAAAUUUUCUCUAUUCAAUGAUAAAAAAAUAAUUUUACUGUAGUAAUCCAAUUUAUAUCGAGGGGUAAAAUGUAACCUCAUGCACUUUAGCUUUUCUUUUAAUAUCAUUUCAAAUCAAGAGAAACUUUCUAGUAAAGAUAGACUAUGUAAUUUGCAUCUAAGAAAAGGCAAGAAUAAGGAAGGAAAGAGAGGCUCGGAGUACUUUUUGGCAGCAUUUCAAUUUCAUUAAAAAAGAGAGAAGAAAAACCAAAAAUUGAUUAAACACACACUCGAAUCUUUAGUUGUUUCUUCGAUCAAAUACACACUGAACACCCAAACCCUUUAUCAGUUACCCCUUCUACAUCUGCAAAAUCCCAAACCCUAGCAAUUUCCUUCUCUCUCUGUGCAAUCUCCACUCUUCCAAUCUCAAUCUGCUUUAUCUGUUCUCUCUUCUGUAUUGAUAGUUCUGUGUAUACCGAAUUUGUGCAAGUUCUUGUUGGUUUUAGAUAACGACGAUGACCGACGGAAAGCUGAAUCUCCCCGACGAUCUCCUCCUCCUCUCUCCCAGGUCAACCGAUGAACGCCUCUCCUCCUUCAAAGGUUCUGAUUUCGAUUUUCCAUUCUUUUUCUUAUUCAAUCGAUCUUUCUUAAUCUUUAUUGCUAUGUAUACUUCCGUUUCUGUUCCUACUUUUAGGGUUUUGACUAUUUUUUUAUAUUUUUUCUCCUUGAUACUUUAUAUUUUUCCAAUUGAAUGACUUUGAUGUUAAUUUAUUUUUCUGUAUAUUUUUCAUGCCGAAUGGUGAUAGAUUACUGAGAUUAAUAGCUGUUGUUAUAUUUGGAUUCAUUGAUUUUGAAUGUAUGGAACUAAUGCUAUUUAUGAAUUGUCAUUUUUCUUGGAAAUGGUAGAUCGAGGAGGAAUUGGUGAGGACAAGGCUCUGUUGAGUUUGCCUGAUGACUCAAAAGGUAUCCCGGGAAUACUUAUUUGCAGAUUUCAGUCUUGAAUUUAUUGGCCUUUUUUAUUCUAAAAUAUAUAUUGAUUGUUCUUGCUUUACAGAUCAAGUGGCUGCAGACAACACUAUACCUCUUUCUCCACAAUGGCUUUAUGCUAAACCGGUGGAUGCUAAGUCAUUGACUACUGGGGCAUCAGGGGUAUGUGAUUUCACUUGUCUAAAGUUGGACAUGCUUAUUGACUGGUUGGUUUUUGGUUAUCUAUAUGAGGUGGCAUGCUUUUUAUUUAUUUAUCAUGUACUAUAUACUCCUUUUGUUAAUUCCUGAUAAUUUAUGUCAUUUAGUGUGAUUGUAUGUUCUGGUGUUUAUAAACAUGUACCUUAGCUGGGGCCCUUGAGAAAUUAUAAAUUAGGAUAGCUGUGUGCAGGAUUUAGAGAUGCAUUUUAUUGGAUUUUAUAAUUUAAAUGGUUUUUAACCAGAAUUUAUACUUAUGAAGGUGUUGAAAUACUUUUAAUUUUGGUUGCAACUCUGCUCUGCAAUUAUCAAAUAAUCAAACCUAAGGAGAUUUAAUUGUAGCAUCUUGACCUCUUUAUAGGGGAAAGCCCUUUUUCUCAUCUGUCUGCAAGAAUGCAGUCUUGUUGCUUUUAUGUGAGUACCAUCUCGCUUAGUUCUGUCACAGGGUGAACUUAUAUUUUACUUGAUGUUUUAUUACUGCUAAACUUAUCCUUUUUUCAGUUUUUAUUUUUGUGUGUACGCGUGUAUUUCCAAUUUAACCCUUAUGCCUGAAAAUAACAGGAAACACGUGCUUCAAAUUCUUUGUCCCAUGGAAACUCCAUUGAUAACAAUUUGAAAGACAAUUGGCGUUUAGAUGGAUCCCAAGACAAGAAAGAUCGGAGGAAAAUUGCUCCUGAUGUUGAAAGCAGCCGCCGUUGGCGUGAGGAGGAGAGGGAUACAGGUUUACUUGGUAGAAAAGAUCGCAGAAAAGAAGACAAUCGUGCUGAUUCUGUUUCAGCUAGAGAUAUAUCUGAGACUAGAACUUUGUCUUCUUCAGAUCGUUGGCAUGACGGCAAUAGCCGCAAUUCUGCGCAUGAAUCCCGAAGAGACAGCAAGUGGUCAUCUAGGUGGGGUCCUGAAGAUAAAGAGAAGGAUUCUCGAACAGAUAAGAGGGCAGAUGUUGAGAAGGAUGAUGCUCACAGUGACAAACAAAAUUUUGUUACUGCUAGCCACCCAAAUUCUGAGCCAACUUCUGAGCGUGAGAACGAUUCUCGUGAUAAGUGGAGGCCAACUUCUGAGCGCGAGAACGAUUCUCGUGAUAAGUGGAGGCCUCGCUAUCGUAAGGAUAUUCAUUCUAGUGGACCUGCUGCAUACAGGAGUGCACCUGGAUUUGGGUUAGAUAGAGGACGUCUGGAGAGCCCGAAUGUGCCGUUUGCUGCCGGAAGAGGAAGGUCCAACAAUAGUGGGAACUUACAAAUUGGCAGAUAUCUUACUGCUUCUUCUAUUGGGUCUAUUCCUCUGGAUAAGAAUCAUGCAUUCUGCUAUCCAAGGGGAAAACUUCUUGACAUUUACCGUAAGCACAAGACUCUUACAAGUUUUGAUACCAUACCAGAAGGGAUCGAGCUUGUGUCUCCACUAACACAGGAAAUUUCUAUUAAGCCAUUGGCAUUUGUUGCACCUGAUGCAGAGGAAGAGGUAUAUGAGUUCGAUAAUGUCAUGUUAAAGGUAUGUCUUACAGCUGUUGUCACUGCCUUAAAUUGGAUCAUCUGAUUCUUGCAGGCUGUCCUUGGAGAUAUGUGGCAGGGAAAAAUUACAAGCAGUGGAGCACUGAACAACUCAUUUAGAGAAAAGAACGAUUCAUCAAGUAAUACCACUGCAGGUGAUCAGUGUCACAUCUUCAGUUGACUUUGGCACAUCUCACCAUCUAUUCUCUCUAACUCUCUUUUUUUAUUCAGGCUUUGGCGAGGGGACUUUAGGUGAGGGGAAUGAGAGUUUCUCUGUUAAGACUGAAGAAAUUGCACACUCUUUUGGAAAAAUUACUGGUAAUGCUUCUGGUCAAGGUACUGUCGCUGAGACAUUAGAUACAUCAAUGGCUGAGGGUAAGUAAUCCUAGAAUCAAUUUUUUGACUAUUUUUAAUUCACAGAGUUAAUACUAUUCCUUCUGUUAUGUAUUUCAGAAAAGGAUACGCAUAAAGAUGAUAAACAGAAGCGUACAACAACAAUUGCCAGAGCAUUGAUGGAUGGCUUUGCGCCUGCAGAUUUCAAGAAAGAUGAUCCCAGCAGUUUUGGGGAGAGUGGUCUGAGUGACAACAUUAUGGAGUUAAAAGCUUUUGAAAGGCAGCCAGUGGAAGAUGUGGUUUUUCAGAAUAACCUUAAGUUGGAGGAUAUUGAGCCAGCUACUUCUUUUGAGAUGGAUAACCAGCUUCCUGAUGAUUCAAGUUCUCUAUUUGAUUUUUCUUCUGCACAGAAAAAUCCAAGCAGCCAUCAGUUUUCCUUGAAUAGAAAUAGUGAGGUACAUCAAUUCAGGGGGGCUAUCACACCUGAGGAACUAUCAUUGUGCUAUCUUGAUCCUCAAGGGGCAAUUCAGGGACCAUACCUUGGUAUUGAUAUUAUUGCAUGGUUUGAGCAAGGAUAUUUUGGAACUGACCUACCAGUUCGUUUGUCAGAUGCUCCAGAUGGAUCACCCUUCCAUGAGCUUGGUGAUAUUAUGCCUCACCUAAAACUUAAACCUGGGUGUGCUUCAAGUACUAGUCCAUCUGCUAAGUUACAGCUAUCUGAUGCUGUUGGAGAAAGCUUGGAAGGGAGCACAGUGACUCCUGCUUCCCUUGAAUUUAAGGCUUCUGCUGUCAGGGAAGACCAACAGAGGGCUUCAUCUGGAUUUGAGGCCAUCUCCAAUGUUAGUGGUCAGUCAAGAGUUCCUGAUCAUGGUUUUCUCAGUGGGAUGGAGUAUUCUGAUGAUCAAAGAUUUCAAAAUGUUGUUACUCCGGAUGAAGGUAAGUUGUGUAUAAUGAUUCUGCAUUUCAUGUCACUGUAUCUGUUCAUUGUGCUCAUUUAGUUGCUCUGAUCUUUGUUGGAUACAGAAAUUAUCUUUCCUGGAAGGCCUGGAAGUAGUGGCAACCCUUUGAUGGGAGAUGUUGCAGACUUUCAGCGAUUUGCUCCUAAUGCUUCUACCAACCCUGCUAUCUUAAAUGAAUUUUCAGAAACUGGCAUGCAUACUCAUCAGGAUGAAAUAGUUCAUCCAUUUGGCUUGUCGAUGUCUGAGCUUAGAAGCAACUCUAAUCUGAGGCGUGCUCAAUCAUCCAACAUGGCUUCAAGCAUGGGUGAUGAAUUUCCAGCACAGGUUCAUGCUAUGGACCCUUAUACAGAGCAUGAUGCUGCUCUUGCCAGUCACAGGACCUUUGAUGCAGUUUUUGAUCAAUCCCAUUAUGCAGAGACAUGGCCUGAAGAUUAUAGGAAAAAGCCACUCACUAAUCCCCACAUUGAUCUAGGUUCUGCAGAUGCUCGACACUUAUUUCACAGGCAGCCAGAGUUCAAUGAUUUUGACCAGCAGCAUCUCAUGUUGCAGAAGAUGCAAAAAGAAUGUCAACAACAGAAUCAUUUAUCUCAUCCCUUCUCACAUACUAUGGAGCUGGGUUUUGAGCAAAUCCCUUCUAAUCUUAUUGAACUGCAAUUUCAACAUCAGCAGCAGCUGGAGCUUCAACAGCGGCAGCAGAUGGAGCUUCAACAGCGGCAGAAGCUGGAGCUUCAACAGAGGCAGCAGCUGGAGCUUCAACAGCGGCGGCAGAUUGAGCUUCAACAGCGGCGGCAGGUGGAACUUCAGCGGCGGCAAUUGGAGCAUCAGCAACAGCAGCGACAGUUUGAGCUUCAGCAACAGCAUCAUUUACUGCACCAACAGCAACAACAGCUUCGUCAGUACCAAAUGAAACUGCAGCAGCAGCAGGUUCUGGAACAGUUGCUGCAGCAUCAGAUGCCUGAUCUUGGAUAUGGUCAGGGAAAGGGAGAUCCAUUGAGAGAAAACUUGCUUGAGCAGAUUCAAUUUAGGACACGACUGGCGGCCGAACUGCAGCUGAAUUCACAUAAUCCAAGGCACCUCGAUCUAUCAUUGGAGCAGAUAAUUCGAGCUAAGAUUGGCCAGAAUAAUCUUCAAGAACCCCAGACUGAUAUCUUGGACCACUUAUCACAGGUGAAGCAUGGUAAUAUACUCCCGUCAGACCUGCAGUUCCAUCUUCAGCAAGAACAGAUGCAGGCGCAAGAGUUAUCUUUGGCAAGGCAGCAGUUAGGAAUGGAUGGUGAAAGCCAAGUUGGUUGG